CCAGGCCGGCGAUCGUCAUGUUCUCCACAUUGACACCGAGGGCCCGGAUCAUCUGGCUAUUGUCGCCCGUGGCCCGCAUGGCUGUGCCCAUCCUGGUACGCAAGAACGCAUACAGCAUGAAGUCGGCGAGUACAAUGACGACGAAAG
RNAcentral lists this unclassified non-coding RNA (147 nucleotides) under uncultured fungus. Its description in RNAcentral is "sequence contains ITS1". The record is from RNAcentral. Lineage: Eukaryota; Fungi.